ACGGUCCUUCACCCUUCGGGGUGAAGGAGAGUGGCGAACGGGUGAGUAACGCGUAAGUAAUCUGUCCCUAAGUAGGGGAUAACUCUGAGAAAUUGGAGCUAAUACCUUAUGUGGUGAUGGAGGUAAGGCUCCAUCACCAAAGCCUUAGGGCGCUUAGGGAGGGGCUUGCGUCCGAUUAGCUAGUUGGUAGGGUAAUGGUUUACCAAGGCGAUGAUCGGUAGCUGGUUUGAGAGGACGGUCAGCCACACUGGGACUGAGACACGGCCCAGACUCCUACGGGAGGCAGCAGCAAGGAAUAUUGUGCAAUGGGCGAAAGCCUGACACAGCGACGCCGCGUGGGGGAUGAAGGCCUUCGGGUUGUAAACCCCUUUUCUCAGGGAAGAAUAAUGACGGUACCUGAGGAAUAAGUCUCGGCUAACUACGUGCCAGCAGCCGCGGUAAUACGUAGGAGGCGAGCGUUAUCCGGAUUUACUGGGCGUAAAGAGGGCGUAGGCGGUUCUUCAAGUCGGAUGUAAAAUCUCCCGGCUCAACUGGGAGGGAACGUUCGAUACUGUUGGGCUAGAGGGCAGCAGAGGGAGGUGGAAUUCCCGGUGUAGUGGUGAAAUGCGUAGAUAUCGGGAGGAACACCAGUGGCGAAGGCGGCCUCCUGGGCUGUUUUUGACGCUGAGGCCCUAAAGCGUGGGGAGCGAACAGGAUUAGAUACCCUGGUAGUCCACGCCAUAAACUAUGGACACUAGGUAUGGGGAGUAUCGACCCUCUCCGUGCCGAAGCUAACGCUUUAAGUGUCCCGCCUGGGGACUACGGCCGCA
RNAcentral lists this ribosomal RNA (809 nucleotides) under uncultured bacterium. RNAcentral describes it as "bacterial SSU rRNA". It matches the Rfam family "Bacterial small subunit ribosomal RNA", at positions 66 to 890 of the family's 1533-position model. The record is from RNAcentral.